AUACGGAGGGUGCAAGCGUUGUCCGGAUUUAUUGGGUUUAAAGGGUCCGUAGGCGGAUCUGUAAGUCAGUGGUGAAAUCUCAUAGCUUAACUAUGAAACUGCCAUUGAUACUGCAGGUCUUGAGUAAGGUAGAAGUAGCUGGAAUAAGUAGUGUAGCGGUGAAAUGCAUAGAUAUUACUUAGAACACCAAUUGCGAAGGCAGGUUACUAUGUCUUAACUGACGCUGAUGGACGAAAGCGUGGGGAGCGAACAGGAUUAGAAACCCCGGUAGUCC
This 274-nucleotide ribosomal RNA is filed under the name uncultured bacterium. RNAcentral describes it as "partial 16S ribosomal RNA". It matches the Rfam family "Bacterial small subunit ribosomal RNA", at positions 523 to 796 of the family's 1533-position model. The record is from RNAcentral.